Molecule: long non-coding RNA, 670 nt
Organism: Beta vulgaris subsp. vulgaris (sugar beet)
Lineage: Eukaryota; Viridiplantae; Streptophyta; Magnoliopsida; Caryophyllales; Amaranthaceae
Exons: 3
Source: RefSeq, a predicted model, not a curated record
UCCACCAUUAUUUUAAUUUAGCUUUGUUCCUAAAAUUACUAUAAAUAGUAUGCUGAUUUUACUAUUCAUCUCCAUCCAAAAAUCAGAAAACUUUCAACACUACCACCCAACCUCCUUAUUUUCCGGCCACUCUCCGACCACCACCACCUGUCGGCCUCCCUCACUGCGCGCCAGACUCGCACCACCAGCCAGCCACCCCGCCAGCACCGCCACCUCCUUCUCCCUCCCCCACGCUGCACCCCUCCUCUUCCUCUUCCUCUCCUUCUCGCUGCACUCUUCCCCUCCCCCAUCUCGCUGCAGCCUCCUUGCUGCCGCGCCGCACCUGCCGCCAGCCGCGCCGCACCGCCGUCCUGCCGUCCGUCCCGCUGCUGCACCGCCACCUGCUUGCCGGAGCUCCGACACCCACUGCACUGCCCGUCUUCUCCUUGUUACUUCACUUAGUGAAGAUUAGAAAGGAAAAGGGAUAUUACAAGCCUCACCCGGCUAUCAAGUAUAAUAAUCGCGACUCGAGGUACCGAUGGGGAUGACGCCAUGGCUUAGCAGUGAGGAAAUGUUAUUAGAAUAACUCAAACAAUUAAAGCUUUUGUAACUUAAGUACUUACUUCGUUUAAUUAACAUCAACUCUGUUUUACUUUAAUAUAACCUAGUACGUUUAAGUUCCAUGUUAUUA